Parasteatoda tepidariorum (common house spider) is the source of this 226-nucleotide non-coding RNA. The record is from RefSeq and is a predicted model, not a curated record. NCBI's taxonomy places the organism in Eukaryota, Metazoa, Arthropoda, Arachnida, Araneae, Theridiidae.
AUAUGGAUAAACUUCUUGCUUCUUUUUUCUGUAGCAAACAUUAAGUGGAAGAAAUUCUCCAGCUAUUGAUUGGAAUAUUAAGGCAUCUGAAAAAAAGAAGUAUGAAGAAAUGUUUUACUCUAUGGGACCCAUUGCUGGAAAAUUGCCUGGGGACAAAGUGAAACCAGUUAUGUUGAAUUCUAAGCUACCUUUAGAUGUUUUAGGCAAAGUAAGUAUUCUAUUGAUA